UCGGCCGCCCCCUCCAUGAUUCUCAAAAGAUGAGUUUUUCUUUGAUCUUGAUUCCUUCUAAUAAAGGGAUCAAGGUCUCGUUUUUCAGUGUGGUGUACAUCAUCUUUGGAGGAUUCUUGCGUUGGAAUCUUGGGUGAACGUUGAACGAAACUAACCAAUUGGAAACUUGAAAUUUAAGAGCAAGGGCAUUCUAUGAUGACAAUAAAAGGGGAAAACCAGUCGAAGAUUGGAAGAAGUGACAACAGGAGGGAUUAUUGUUGUCAUGCUUGAUGCUCUCACUAGGUAUUCUUUGGGCCUCGUUGUAUGGGCAUUGAUGAUGCUUGUAUCUAGCAUCUUGGAUUUGGUCCAAGGUGGAGAUUGUUAAUAUUUGUGGCCCAAAUCGCUUAGGCCCAGCCCAUCUCACCAGAUGGCUGGGUCUAGUCCGCGUCAUGAUGCUUGGCCCAUUUGCUCGUGCUCCUAGCCCAUUUCCUAACCCGGGCCACUAAGGUUACUUGCUUUGCUCGCUUUUAUUAGAUCUGUCUCUUUCUCUCUUUGUCAUAACCCUGAUCCCUUCACCCGACUCAUCGUUUCUCCCAGUCUUCUCUCUCUCUCUCUCUUCUUCUCUCUAGUGUUGGGUCUCCCUUCGCCUUUUCUUGUUUCUCUCCACUACCAUUUUUCCUAGAUUCUCUUUUGGAAUUAAAUUAGUUGUUUCUCUAUAUAUUGUUGGCUUCACUCUGGUUUAAGUCCAGAACUUGACACCCUUCUUCUCUCUCUAAUCUCCUUCUGUGUUUCUUGAAGUUCUUCAUGAACUAGCUUUAGUGGUUGACAGAUCUUGUAGAUCUAAGCCUUUGUGGCCCCAGGAUUAAUCUAAUAGCCUUUGUGGCAGUAGUGGUGCCUUUGUGGCUCAGUAGUUCCAAGCAACCGUGAGUGUGGGUUGAGGCCUUUAUGGCUUUGGGUUUACAUUGACUAGAUCUAGCUUUUUAAGCGUUAUUCCUGUAAACCAUUGUAUUUCCUUUCUCUUUUAUUCUAUGUCAUAUUUAUUGUAAUUUUAAUUUAUGUACUUGUAUAGAUCUGUAAAUCUUAUUCUGAAAAUUGUUGAAUAAGGAGUUU
Molecule: non-coding RNA, 1089 nt
Organism: Sesamum indicum (sesame)
Lineage: Eukaryota; Viridiplantae; Streptophyta; Magnoliopsida; Lamiales; Pedaliaceae
Source: RefSeq, a predicted model, not a curated record